Molecule: long non-coding RNA, 213 nt
Filed under: Phoenix dactylifera (date palm)
Lineage: Eukaryota; Viridiplantae; Streptophyta; Magnoliopsida; Arecales; Arecaceae
Description: long non-coding RNA (PDAC_LNC001722)
Source: RNAcentral
UUCUCCAAUACUAACAGAGUUUAAUUUUGCAAUGUAUUGUGUGCUAUGGCCAUUACAUCAUAGCAUAAUCCUAACAGGUAGUUUAUUUUGUAUAAUUUAUCCAUUGUAUUUUGCAAACAUGAUCAAUAUCAACGUGAAUUAUUCUCAAGCAAUCAGGUUAUAAGCUUAUCUGGUAGCCAACAUAUAGAUGCAUGUCAAGAAGACACUCAACUC